CUUGCUUUCUUUGCUGGCGACCGGCGCACGGGUGAGUAACACGUAUCCAACUUGCCCUUUACUCGGGGAUAGCCUUUCGAAAGAAAGAUUAAUACCCGAUAGCAUAAUGAUUCCGCAUGGUUUCAUUAUUAAAGGAUUCCGGUAAAGGAUGGGGAUGCGUUCCAUUAGGUUGUUGGUGAGGUAACGGCUCACCAAGCCUUCGAUGGAUAGGGGUUCUGAGAGGAAGGUCCCCCACAUUGGAACUGAGACACGGUCCAAACUCCUACGGGAGGCAGCAUG
Molecule: ribosomal RNA, 279 nt
Filed under: uncultured bacterium
Lineage: Bacteria
Description: partial 16S ribosomal RNA
Rfam family: Bacterial small subunit ribosomal RNA
Source: RNAcentral